ACUCCUACGGGAGGCAGCAGUAGGGAAUCUUCCACAAUGGGCGCAAGCCUGAUGGAGCAACACCACGUGAGUGAAGAAGGGUUUCGGCUCGUAAAGCUCUGUUGUUAAAGAAGAACACGUAUGAGAGUAACUGUUCAUACGUUGACGGUAUUUAACCAGAAAGUCACGGCUAACUACGUGCCAGCAGCCGCGGUAAUACGUAGGUGGCAAGCGUUAUCCGGAUUUAUUGGGCGUAAAGAGAGUGCAGGCGGUUUUCUAAGUCUGAUGUGAAAGCCUUCGGCUUAACCGGAGAAGUGCAUCGGAAACUGGAUAACUUGAGUGCAGAAGAGGUAGUGGAACUCCAUGUGUAGCGGUGGAAUGCGUAGAUAUAUGGAAGAACACCAGUGGCGAAGGCGGCUACCUGGUCUGCAACUGACGCUGAGACUCGAAAGCAUGGGUAGCGAACAGGAUUAGAUACCCCUGGUAGGAUAGCG
RNAcentral lists this ribosomal RNA (473 nucleotides) under uncultured bacterium. RNAcentral describes it as "bacterial SSU rRNA". It matches the Rfam family "Bacterial small subunit ribosomal RNA", at positions 335 to 801 of the family's 1533-position model. The record is from RNAcentral.